Molecule: ribosomal RNA, 503 nt
Filed under: uncultured bacterium
Lineage: Bacteria
Description: partial 16S ribosomal RNA
Rfam family: Bacterial small subunit ribosomal RNA
Source: RNAcentral
AUUGAACGCUGGCGGCAGGCUUAACACAUGCAAGUCGAGCGGGGUGAUGGUGCUUGCACUAUCACUUAGCGGCGGACGGGUGAGUAAUGCUUAGGAAUCUGCCUAUUAGUGGGGGACAACAUCUCGAAAGGGAUGCUAAUACCGCAUACGUCCUACGGGAGAAAGCAGGGGAUCACUUGUGACCUUGCGCUAAUAGAUGAGCCUAAGUCGGAGUAGCUAGUGGGUGGGGUAAAGGCCUACCAAGGCGACGAUCGGUAGCGGGUCUGAGAGGAUGGUCGGCCAAACUGGGUCUGAGACACGGCCCAGACUCCUACGGGAGGCAGCAGUGGGGAAUAUUGGAAAAUGGGGCGAACCCUGAUCCAGCGAUGCCGCGUGUGUGAAGAAGGCCUUAUGGUUGUAAAGCACCUUAAGCGAGGAGGAGGCUCUUUUGGUUAAUACCCUAGAUGAGUGGACGUUACUCGCAGAAUAAGCGCCGGCUAUCUCUGUGCCAGCAGCCGCCGUAA